ACGAGUCAUGCAGAGCAAAUAUCGCACCAAACGCGAACGUAAACAAGCUUCGUAUGAAUGAUGCCUAAAACACUACUGCAUUCCUACACCCCACCAUCAGCGUCAAAGAACGCAAUUCGCAACGCACUCACAACUGACUCACGGAAUGAUUUCCGCCACCUUUGUCGGUGAAGUGGAUAGACGAUUGUUAGUCUACAGGACAACUCGCACGAGUUCGCACAGUCGCUCGACGACGUUCUGAAUUCUCCGGGUGUGCUAUUUAGUGAAUACCAGCUAAAUCUCAGUAGGAUUCCAACACUUAGCAAAGUAUCUUACACAUCCGCGGGAACCGAAAGGCGCUAGAAGAUCUCCACACCGCAUAGCAAAGCCAUCACAGCGAGACCACCCUGCACGCACAUACCAUACCCUGAAACUGCUGCGCCCACCAACGAUUGUAGCAAGCCGUUUUCGUUAGGAAGCAGUCCGGAAGGCACACAGAAACGCUCAUCCGCAACAUUAGAGCAUUGUGUAAGCUACGUCGGCGAAGAGCAACGUGUAAAAAAACACCUGAAUACAGACGACACCA
Long non-coding RNA from Armigeres subalbatus, 565 nucleotides. RefSeq lists it as uncharacterized. The record is from RefSeq and is a predicted model, not a curated record. The transcript is spliced from 3 exons. Lineage: Eukaryota; Metazoa; Arthropoda; Insecta; Diptera; Culicidae.